Manis pentadactyla (Chinese pangolin) is the source of this 434-nucleotide long non-coding RNA. RefSeq lists it as uncharacterized. NCBI's taxonomy places the organism in Eukaryota, Metazoa, Chordata, Mammalia, Pholidota, Manidae. The transcript has 4 exons. The record is from RefSeq and is a predicted model, not a curated record.
UCCAAUUCCGAGCUUUUGGGUCAGGCUGUGCUGGUCAAAGUUUAUAGCAAUUCAGCAUCAUGUGAAAACACAGCUCUUGUUGGGCAAGACUGAACCUCAGGAUCUUAUACAACACCUUUGCUGUGAAAACCACUGAUUCCUGGACCAAAUAGCCACUCUUUCAUGCACUAAUGUAACAACUAACAAGUGACCAUUUGACUAUUCUACACACAGAAAUUCAUGAAGCCUCUGUGAAGACAUCAUUGAAAGCCAAGCAAUGAGCCUUGCUUGUAAUGAAGAACAACUGUCAGUUCCCUAAUGGCUCUUUCCUGCUUGGUCUGUAUCCUUCUGGCCACACACACUUCUGCUUCUCUGAUAUUGUGUUUUUCAAAAUAGCAUACUAGUAUGCAUUUUAGUCUCUUUUUUCUACAAAAUAUUGGACAAGACAUUAAAAU